RNAcentral lists this ribosomal RNA (1017 nucleotides) under Escherichia coli. RNAcentral's name for it is "partial 23S ribosomal RNA". It matches the Rfam family "Bacterial large subunit ribosomal RNA", at positions 890 to 1890 of the family's 2925-position model. Lineage: Bacteria; Pseudomonadati; Pseudomonadota; Gammaproteobacteria; Enterobacterales; Enterobacteriaceae. The record is from RNAcentral.
UCAUCUCCGGGGGUAGAGCACUGUUUCGGCAAGGGGGUCAUCCCGACUUACCAACCCGAUGCAAACUGCGAAUACCGGAGAAUGUUAUCACGGGAGACACACGGCGGGUGCUAACGUCCGUCGUGAAGAGGGAAACAACCCAGACCGCCAGCUAAGGUCCCAAAGUCAUGGUUAAGUGGGAAACGAUGUGGGAAGGCCCAGACAGCCAGGAUGUUGGCUUAGAAGCAGCCAUCAUUUAAAGAAAGCGUAAUAGCUCACUGGUCGAGUCGGCCUGCGCGGAAGAUGUAACGGGGCUAAACCAUGCACCGAAGCUGCGGCAGCGACACUAUGUGUUGUUGGGUAGGGGAGCGUUCUGUAAGCCUGUGAAGGUGUGCUGUGAGGCAUGCUGGAGGUAUCAGAAGUGCGAAUGCUGACAUAAGUAACGAUAAAGCGGGUGAAAAGCCCGCUCGCCGGAAGACCAAGGGUUCCUGUCCAACGUUAAUCGGGGCAGGGUGAGUCGACCCCUAAGGCGAGGCCGAAAGGCGUAGUCGAUGGGAAACAGGUUAAUAUUCCUGUACUUGGUGUUACUGCGAAGGGGGGACGGAGAAGGCUAUGUUGGCCGGGCGACGGUUGUCCCGGUUUAAGCGUGUAGGCUGGUUUUCCAGGCAAAUCCGGAAAAUCAAGGCUGAGGCGUGAUGACGAGGCACUACGGUGCUGAAGCAACAAAUGCCCUGCUUCCAGGAAAAGCCUCUAAGCAUCAGGUAACAUCAAAUCGUACCCCAAACCGACACAGGUGGUCAGGUAGAGAAUACCAAGGCGCUUGAGAGAACUCGGGUGAAGGAACUAGGCAAAAUGGUGCCGUAACUUCGGGAGAAGGCACGCUGAUAUGUAGGUGAAGUCCCUCGCGGAUGGAGCUGAAAUCAGUCGAAGAUACCAGCUGGCUGCAACUGUUUAUUAAAAACACAGCACUGUGCAAACACGAAAGUGGACGUAUACGGUGUGACGCCUGCCCGGUGCCGGAAGGUUAAUUGAUGGGGU